RNAcentral lists this ribosomal RNA (133 nucleotides) under uncultured bacterium. RNAcentral describes it as "partial 16S ribosomal RNA". The record is from RNAcentral.
GGUUAACGUCAUCUGAAACGCAUUCCCUCGUUCCGUUAUUCCUCCCCAAGAAAAGAACUUUACAACCUUCCGGCCUUCUUCAUUCACGCGGCGUCGCUCCGUCAGGCUUUCGCCCAUUGCGGAAGAUUCUUAG